UAGCCUUCGGGCAAAGCGAAACAAUAAAAGCCCUUCCAAGAAAAGCGAGCAUAGCAGCCAGUACCGUAAACCGACACAGGUAGAAGGGAUGAGUAUUCUAAGGCGCUCGGGUGAGCCGCGGAGAAGGAACUAGGCAAAUUAACGCUGUAACUUCGGGAUAAAGCGUACCGUAGCGAUACGGUCACAGUAAAAUGGUACAACCAACUGUUUAACAAAAACACAGGGCCCUGCAAAAUCGUAAGAUGACGUAUAGAGCCUGAUACCUGCCCGGUGCUGGAAGGUUAAGGAAGGAUGUUCGGCGCAAGCCAAAGCUUCUGACUGAAGCCCCAGUAAACGGCGGCCGUAACAAUAACGGUCCUAAGGUAGCGAAAUCCCUUGUCGGCUAAAUACCGACCCGCAUGAAAGGCGUAACGACUUGGGCACUGUCUCAACGAGAAGCUCGGUGAAAUUGUAGCACCCGUGAAGAUGCGGGUUACGCGCAGUAGGACGGAAAGACCCCGUGGAGCUUUACUACACCCUGUCACUGCGAAUUGGGUGUAGAUGUAGAGAGUAGGUGGGAGCUUAGGCACCAAUGGAACACCACCCUUCUACAUCUGGUUCGCUAACCGUCACCAUUAUCUGGUGACGAGACAAUGACAGGCGGGUAGUUUGACUGGGGCGGUCGCCUCCCAAAAGGUAACGGAGGCGCCUAAAGUUGCACUCAGGCUGGUUGGAAAUCAGCCGUCGAGCGUAUAGGUAUAUAGUGCGAUUGACUGCGAGACAAACAGGUCGAGCAGGGACGAAAGUCGAGCUAAGUGACCCUCUGGUGGUGCGUGGGCACGCCAGGGUUCAUCGGAUAUAAGCUACCCCGGGGAUAACAGGCUGAUCUUGCCCGAGCGCUCACAGCGACGGCAUGGUUUGGCACCUCGAUGUCGGCUCGUCUCAUCCUGGGGCUGUACACGGUCCCAAGGGUUCCGGAGUUCACGGAUUAAAGAGGCACGCGAGCUGGGUUCAGAACGGCGUGAGCCAGUUCGGUCCCUAUCCACUGCGCGCGGAGGAAAUUUGAGAGGACUCGCUCCUAGUACGAGAGGACCGGAGUGAACCGACCUCUGGUGUACCUGUUGUGCCGCCAGGCGCAUACGCAGGGUAGCCACGUCGGGUCGUGAUAAGCGCUGAAAGCAUCUAAGCGCCAAGCACACCUCAAGAUGAGAUUUCCCAUCGAAAGAGUAAGGCCCCCGGAAGACUACCGGGUUGAUAGGUCGCAGGUGUGAGCGCAGUAAUGUGUUAAGCUGAGCGAUACUAAUUGGCCGAGGGCCUAAAAAG
Molecule: ribosomal RNA, 1302 nt
Filed under: metagenome
Description: bacterial LSU rRNA
Rfam family: Bacterial large subunit ribosomal RNA
Source: RNAcentral